UGGCAAUGAGGAGAUACCUGCUGUGAUAGUUUUACAUGCUAUUCUGAGCCAGCA
Molecule: small nucleolar RNA, 54 nt
Filed under: Otolemur garnettii (small-eared galago)
Lineage: Eukaryota; Metazoa; Chordata; Mammalia; Primates; Galagidae
Description: Small nucleolar RNA U54
Rfam family: Small nucleolar RNA U54
Source: Rfam by way of RNAcentral